GUCCUUGUAGCUCAGUGGUAGAGCAGCUGGCCGUUAACCAGCAGGUCCGUGGUUCGAAUCCAUGUGAGGACGCAA
RNAcentral lists this transfer RNA (75 nucleotides) under Bacteroides sp. 224. RNAcentral's name for it is "tRNA-Asn". It matches the Rfam family "tRNA". From Rfam's summary of the family: Transfer RNA (tRNA) molecules are approximately 80 nucleotides in length. The record is from RNAcentral. Lineage: Bacteria; Pseudomonadati; Bacteroidota; Bacteroidia; Bacteroidales; Bacteroidaceae.